CCUACGGGUGGCAGCAGUGAGGAAUAUUGGUCAAUGGACGAGAGCCUGAACCAGCCAAGCAGCGUGAAGGAUGACUGCCCUAUGGGUUGUAAACUUCUUUUAUAUGGGAAUAAAAUGUCUUACGUGUGGGAUUUUGUAUGUACCAUACGAAUAAGGAUCGGCUAACUCCGUGCCAGCAGCCGCGGUAAUACGGAGGAUCCGAGCGUUAUCCGGAUUUAUUGGGUUUAAAGGGAGCGUAGGUGGUUUGUUAAGUCAGUUGUGAAAGAUUGCGGCUCAACCGUAAAAUUGCAGUUGAUACUGGCAGUCUUGAGUACAGUAGAGGUGGGCGGAAUGCGUGGUGUAGCGGUGAAAUGCUUAGAUAUCACGAAGAACUCCGAUUGCGAAGGCAGUUCACUGGACUGCAACUGACACUGAGGCUCGAAAGUGUGGGUAUCAAACAGGAUUAGAUACCCGGGUAGUC
Molecule: ribosomal RNA, 460 nt
Filed under: uncultured bacterium
Lineage: Bacteria
Description: partial 16S ribosomal RNA
Rfam family: Bacterial small subunit ribosomal RNA
Source: RNAcentral